UGGGGAAUUUUGGACAAUGGGCGAAAGCCUGAUCCAGCAAUGCCGCGUGUGUGAAGAAGGCCUUCGGGUUGUAAAGCACUUUUGUCCGGAAAGAAAUCCUUGGCUCUAAUACAGUCGGGGGAUGACGGUACCGGAAGAAUAAGCACCGGCUAACUACGUGCCAGCAGCCGCGGUAAUACGUAGGGUGCAAGCGUUAAUCGGAAUUACUGGGCGUAAAGCGUGCGCAGGCGGUUUGCUAAGACCGAUGUGAAAUCCCCGGGCUCACCUGGGAACUGCAUUGGUGACUGGCAGGCUAGAGUAUGGCAGAGGGGGGUAGAAUUCCACGUGUAGCAGUGAAAUGCGUAGAGAUGUGAGGAAUACGAUGGCGAAGGCAGCCCCCUGGGCCAAAUACUGACGCUCAUGCACGAAAGCGUGGGGAGCAAACAGGAUUAGAUACCCUGGUAGUCCAGCGCCCUAAACGAUGUCAACUAGUUGUUGGGGACUUCAUUUCCUUAGUAACGUAGCUAACGCGUGAAGUUGACCGCCUGGGGAGUACGGUCGC
Molecule: ribosomal RNA, 541 nt
Filed under: uncultured bacterium
Lineage: Bacteria
Description: partial 16S ribosomal RNA
Rfam family: Bacterial small subunit ribosomal RNA
Source: RNAcentral